GUCUAUGGCGGACCGUGCAAGGCGGGCUUCGGCCCGGCCGGUUGUUGCGACAUCGGUUUUCCACCCCUGCACGGUCCGCCUCCCUU
Molecule: non-coding RNA, 86 nt
Filed under: Pseudomonas knackmussii B13
Lineage: Bacteria; Pseudomonadati; Pseudomonadota; Gammaproteobacteria; Pseudomonadales; Pseudomonadaceae
Source: RNAcentral